This is a long non-coding RNA of Eriocheir sinensis (Chinese mitten crab), 626 nucleotides long. RefSeq lists it as uncharacterized. The transcript is spliced from 3 exons. Lineage: Eukaryota; Metazoa; Arthropoda; Malacostraca; Decapoda; Varunidae. The record is from RefSeq and is a predicted model, not a curated record.
CUCACAAUCCCUUGGGGGUAUUCAUGGGAUACUUUUUAUUUUUUUCUUGUUUUGAGUGAAUUAUUAGUAAAGGAAGCAUAUGACUGUCAAGAUACCCUAAACUUAACCUAACAUAACCUAUCAAAACCCAAUACAGUUACUAAAGCUCUAGACUCAGAAAACUCAAAUAUGCUUCCUUGCUAAUGAGACUUUCUAUACAACAAAGUGAGGUUAUUCAUUGUUGAUUUAUACCACAAGGUGCUGGCUAUCAAGUGUUUGAAGAUACCCUAAACUUAACCUAACAUAACCUAUCAAAACCCAAUACAGUUACGUACUAUAGGUCUUGAUUCAGAAAACUCAUAUAUGCUUCCUUACUAAUGAGACUUUCUAUACAACAAAGUGAGGUCAUUCUUUGUUGAUAUAUACCAUAAGGUGCUGGCUAUCAAGUGUUUGAAGAUACCCUAAACUUAACCUAACAUAACCUACCAAAACCUAAUACAGUUACUAUAGGUCUUGACUCAGAAAACUUAUAUAUGCUACCUUACUAAUGAGACUUUCUAUACAACAAAGUGAGGUCAUUCUUUGUUGAUUUAUACCAUAAGGUGCUGGCUAUCAAGUGUUUGAAAAUACCCUAAACUUAACCUAAC